GCAAAUAUUCAUCAUCGGAGGUGAGCAGAGCAACCAACAGUGUGAUUAUUUCACAUUUGUGAUGCUGCUGGCAUUGUCUCCAGAUUUCAAGCCAGCCUCCCCGCCCCCUCUUUUUAAAAAGCAUUCUCUCCCUCAGGACUCAGACAGAUGUUUUCAUUUUACUUAAACUGAAAGACUAUUUUCCUCCUCUGCCAGGAACAUGUACCAGUACAAAGUGCUAACCGCGUUUGGAUUUGAACCCCCAUCCUCAAGAGCAACAGGAGGCGGAAGUUCACGCCGUGUCAGCUCAGCUGUGAGAAGUGUUUUAAAUCACACUUUGACGUACAUUACGCUGUUAACUAGACAACGAAGGCCAGCACACAUGCUUCUAGUGCCUCCAAAUCACAUGAUCUCCUCUUUGUCUGGGACAGCUUUUGAUGCAGCUGUGUCGGCUUUUGGAGCCAUUCUCCGCCACGAACCUGCACGGUGGCUCCUGAAGGGGCGCCCCCGCCAGGCCGGGCCUCACCUGCGCGGCGGCAGCGCCUGCGUGACAGCGACCAGGCGCACUAGUCACGCGCUCCCCGAGGCCCAAGCCCAGAGGCUCCGUGUUUCAGCGGCCCGGGCUGCCCAGGAUCACCUUGAGCUCCCGGUCCAGGGCGCCUUGCCCUGGACUAAGUGUCCAGGGCUCCUUGGCCUCCGCGGAAAUGGACCUCAGGCGCGAUUGUGUUGAGCUGGGAAAUAAACCGCCUCGCUCCUCUCCGCAUCCUUGCGCCUCCGCAUCUCUAACCUCACGCUUCCGCGUUGCCGUGUGAGCUGCUGGCUGAGAACAAAAGCUCUAUAAAUUAAGAGGAGUAUGAGCUUCACCCCAGCCUGCCGGGCCCCUCUGCUGGCCUGCCCAGGGCCUCCAGGCCUGCACCGAGGGGCUCCCAGCCACCCAGGGACUGAUGGACUGCAGCUGCCCGGGACAGCAGCCCACGCCGCAGGAAAGGGCGUCUGCAACUGGUCUUGUGUCCCAGAGCACAGAGCAGGAGGGAGGCCCGCAGCAGCCUCCCGCUCCGGACUGUCUGCCCCGCAGCUCCCAGCGGGUGACUCCGGAAGGCGGCACCGAGGGAAUGCUCUCCACUUUGUCCACUGUCAGUGCAAGAGUCAAAAAGGUGCAUGAAGGAACCAGCAGUGGAUGUGGUGCUCACACCUGUAAUCCCAGGCCUGGGAGGCUGAGGCAGGAGGACCUGACUUCAAGGUAAGCCUGGACGACAAGGCGAGAUCCUGCCUCAGAAAACAAACAGCUGCUUUGAGCUUGUUCUUCUAAAGGGAAAAGCUUUCAGCCGAUAUCCAAGAACGCGGGUCUUGGAUAAACUAGAAUAGGUGCAUUCACGAUUAAGGCUGGGCAUAGUUGGUCUGCGCCCCCAGCCUGUGCUGUCUGUUGUCUAGUCAAUGGAACAACAAAGGAAAAAUAUAACCAAAGUCGAACAUGAUUGUUUUCAGAGCCAGCUUCUAAAACUUGAUUUUUUUAAAGGAGAAUAAAG
RNAcentral lists this long non-coding RNA (1505 nucleotides) under Chinchilla lanigera (long-tailed chinchilla). RNAcentral's name for it is "lncRNA (ENSCLAG00000023029.1)". The record is from RNAcentral. Lineage: Eukaryota; Metazoa; Chordata; Mammalia; Rodentia; Chinchillidae.